CUGGCUAGCCAUAUGUAGAAAGCUGAAACUGGAUCCCUUCCUUACACCUUAUACAAAAAUUAAUUCAAGACGGAUUAAAGACUUAAAUGUCAGGCAUAUGAAAUUGAACUCCAUCUGGGUUUAUUUGGCACCAACCUAGAGCAAAUUGCUGAACUAAGACGUGUAGGAGAUAACAAGAUGAAUAACGACACAUGAAGGAGUUUUCUUGAUUGAAAUUACAAAACAUUCAGGAAAGAUAAAAAUGUGGUAGAGAUGGGCUCUUAAAUUAACUGAGGAAACUAUAAAUUGGGACUACUUUCAUAAUCCCUGGAGUCAAAUUGCCUAGCUUAGAAUACUGGCUUUCUCACUUACUAUCAGCAUGCCCUUAGACUUGUUACUUAAUUUUUCUUGGCCUCAGUGACUUCAGUAGCACCUGUUUCACAGAGUUGGGGAAAGCAAUUAAAUGAUAUAUGCAAUAGUUAAAAUGGAGACUGGAGCACAGUUAACAUUGGCAAGUGUUAUUUGUACUGUUGUUGUCAUUAUCAUUAUAAUGUACAGGCUGAAAUAAAAUUUAUUCUACUAAAAGCACAGUUUGAAACACACUCCUCAUUAGCUUUUUUAACAGUUUAAUCAAAAGUUUGAAAAAACUAGCGUAAUUUGGAAAUUUAAUUCUAAUUCUUUUGGAUCUAACAAACAAAAAGUUAAAUAUAUUAGCAUCAAGAACUUUAGAUCUUGAUAAUGGAUGUUAAGAUUAUAGAUUUCAUACACACUAAGGAAAAAGUAUAUACCCUAGCUCCUGUAGUUAAGCACAUUUUUAAAAUGUGCACUGAAGUGAUGAACAUGGUCAUUAUUGUGUCUAUUGUAACAAAGAUAUAAUAAGGUUAUAUUAUAUUUUUAUUAUAUAUAAAUAUAUAUUAUGUAUUUUUUAUUAUAAAAGUUAUAAUAAAUGUGAUCAGGCAUGACUCAACGAAGAGUAUCUAAAUUAUAAUCACAUAACUUUAUCUUUCAUUUUAACAAUGCCUUGUAAUUUAUGUAGUGAUCCGAAGAAGUUAUGGACUUAAACUAUGUAAUGUUAGCAAAAUAAUUACAAAUGAUCCCUAUGCAGACCAUGUAAAUGAGCCAGAAGUGGAAGCAUAUAGCAAAACUAUGUAAAAAGUAGCAAAAAACCUCUAAGGAUGUCCAUUUGACAGAUGUGAAUGAUGAAUGGAAGCUUCUAAAAAUACUAGUAACAAUAAACACUGUCGAUUUGGCUAUAAUCCAAGCCAAAAAAAAAAAGUCUAUAUAUAAGUAGGCUCAUUGUUAAGGGCAGAUGGCAUGCUAUUCCCAGAAAAUGUCAACUUCCUAAAAUCAGGCCUGAUAGCAUCACACCCCAGUUUUAACAUUUUCAGUGGCUUCUCAACCAGUACAUGGUAAAUUUAGAACUUAGCAUGGCAUCCAGUGCCCUUAUCUUCCUGUCUCCAGUCUACCAUUCCAGCCAAAUUUUUCAUCAUUCUCUCUUUACUCAAAAUGUAACCUAAAUCCUAGUUGCAUCAGACUACAGAGGAGUCAGGUCUAGUAUAUUACUUUGAACUAUAUAAAAGUCUAGGCAUUAAGCUAUUUUUGACCUACAAAAUGACAAUUUCAUUCAACCUAAUACAUAAUAUAAAAAAAGGAGAAACCAUAGCUUCAUGUUAAAUUCAUUGCAAAUCCAGGCAAAUUACACCCCAGGAUUCUUAGAGAGCCUGAAUAUUAUAACUAAAUAACUAUUGCUUAAAAAAGAAUUCUUAUUAGGGUACACUGUUUUGGGAGUUGAGUUUUUCCUGGAUGUCUUUCUUCCCUUUUCUUCUUCAGUACCACUCUUCAUCCUUUUCCACCCUUUUCUGUGACUGAAAGGCUAAUCUACACUGACUGCUAGACUGCUGCCACUGGCUCCCUUGUCCUCUGACUUUGAAUUGGAUGCAGCCAUUAAGAUACCUAGCAGGAGAUCAGAAACAAGGAGGAUCAUGAGUCUGAAUAUUUGGCCUCCUACUCCCGCCAUGCACCUCUGCCUCAUCCUGGCCAUGCACUCGUACUAAUGGCCACGUCUCAAGAUUUCAGUGUGUACCUAACUCUCCUCUUCUUGAGUUUCUGCAACUGCUCCCUCCUCUCAUUGUGUAGGUCUAGGGUGAGAUCAACUUCACCAUUAUCCUCAUGAGUUUCCUUACACAUAGCCCACAUCUUUGUAAAUGUUGCCUUUAUUAAACCUUUUACAAAUUAUCCUAAUUUGAGUACAUCAUCUGUUGUCUGCUGUAAUUCUAACUGACACAAGACUAAUUCUUCAUAUUAUUCACAUUUAAUUCUUACUACACUUUAAGGAAGGUUUGGUUAUUAUGUCAUUUUAUAGAUAAGGGAAAUUAAGUUCAUAGAGACAAAUUAAUGUGUCCAACAUGAAACAAAAAAUGUGUUACAGAUCAAGGGUUGCAAGCCCAGCAAUGUGACUCCAGAGGCUACAGUCCUGAUGGGUGAUGGGAAAUUGUAAUUUUGGUUUUCUAAAGUGGGGAAAAAUAAAUUUCAGAAACCAUACAUUGAUAAAAAGAAAUAAUGAUAAUCACACGUUUUCUGAACAGGUUAUUAAAUGUGUAGUCUCAGAUGGUAUGAUGGUAUGUUUUUUGGACACGGUAAAGAAUUAUGGGAACAAGGUUUUAGACUUCAGGAUACUUGGCAAUUUUUGGUCUAUACUUUACGGAAACACAGAAAGGACUAUCUUAUUCAAUUUGCUGAUGCUGCAAAGCUAGGAUAGAAGGCUGAUAGAAUCAGAAUUUCAAAUACAUUUACAGACUAGAAAAAAUAGAGUAAAUGAAAUGAAAUACAAAGGCAAUAAAUAUCACGAUAUGUUUGUAAUGGUCAAGUGUCUUGCUUGCUAGAGUCUUUUUUUGUGGGGGAAGUUUCAUUUUAAUUGAGAUAUAAUUUAUAUACUAUAUAAUUUUCUCUUUUUCUGGGUACAAUUCAGUGGUUCUUAGUACAGAAGCAGAGAAUCUCAUUUAUUGGCUCAAGUAACUAUAUAAUCUAAAGGAGGACAUUAAAGGUAAACACAUGAAGGGUUUUCAAAAGAUGUCAUUAGGUAAGUUCUCCCCCUCUGUCACUCUCUUCUCUGUUUUCCUCUAUGUUGGCUCCUGAGCAAGUUCCUAUCACCAAAAGGGUUGAUAUUUUACCCCUCUCAGGUUCUAGUCUAGUUGAAGAGAAAAACUCUCUGAAAAAUCUCUAGAAAUCACACAUGGUUGCAUAUCAUUGGCUCUGAAAUAGGCCAUGUUUUCACACUGAACUAUAGUCAGGCAUCUGUAGUACUCUGAUUGGCAACGCAUGGAUCCCAUGCCCACACCAGAGAGAAACCUAGCUCCACACAACCACAAGAAUUGCAAGUUGGAGAACUGGGGUAAUACAAAGAAAGUCAGUCAGAAAUCAUUAAGCAAAGUGUUAAAGUUAUAUCAAGCAAAACGAUAAUUAAAAUGCGUAUCGACUACAAAAUUCAAAACAAUUUUAAAAAUACAGAAUGUGGAAGGCAUAGCAUAACUACAAUAUGAUUAAUAUGAAAAAUCUCUUGGGGUUUUUAGAUGCCAUUAAACUCAGUAUAAACCAACUGGGUGAUCUGAACACUAAAAUAGGCUCAGACUGAAUUGAUCAAUGUAUAUUGUUUACAGCAACAGUGGCAAUAUUUACAUUGAUCUGCACUUAACUGAUUACACCUGAAAUAUUGUUUUAGGUGCUAGAAACUACAUUAUAAGGGAGAUACUGAAGAGCUGGUGUCUAUUCAAUUGAGAUUUAUAAAUGUGCUUGGAGGACACAAAACUUGAGGAAUGGUUGAAAAAACAGGAAGGAAUGUUCAAGUGGGAAGAUGGACAAUUCAAUGAGGUUAUAAUAUCUGUGUUCUAAUACUGAAAAAAGAAUUUCAUAUGGAAAGAAAAAUAGAUUUAUACAAAGCAAUUAUUGGCUGAAUUAAGACCAGUAUAAACUUUUAGCAGUAUUUUAAUGCCUUACAAAUUUGGAAAUGUGUUUUAAUAGGAGAAACACAGUGGUGUUAAGUAGCGGGUAGGUAACUACUUCAUAAAUAUGUUACCGAAGCUUUAUCAGAUUGGGUCAAACAUGGGACUAGAAUCGGCCUUAUGUAUUUCCAGCUUGGAAUUCAAGGAAUCCUACUACCUGGAUCCAAACUUCUGUCACUGUUCACUAGUUAUGAAACUGAGAAUCCUCUACAAACCUCAUUUCUUAAUCUGCAAAAUGAAGAUAAUAGUCUCUUCCUUUUAGAGUUGUGGUAUUAAAUUAUUAAUACCCACAAGGAACUUAGGUUAGUGUAUGGCCCAUAUUAAGUACUCAAUUUUAGCCAUUAUUAUUGCUAUAUAGUUGAUGAUGAGUACUUAACUUUCUUUGCCAUGCACGUAGAUUUCCACACUUAGUUGUGACAGGGCUAAAAAAAAAAAGGCUUUCCUUUGUGUUACACAACAUAUGGCAGGUUGAGCAUCUUAAAAUAUUGUUCUGCAGUAAAACAGACUAUAAGGUAUUCACAUAAUUCUUUCAUAACAAGCUAUUUCCAAGAGCUCAGUAAUCAUACAGGUCCAAUUUUUGGCAAAGCUAUGAAGCUCUGGUGAUGCACUUCUCUGCUGGAAAAGCCCAUAAAACACCCACUGCUUCUCUUCCAAGUUUCACUCCUCUAAAGGAUCAAAAGUCUGAAUCUCCUCACUAAGAAAAGGUAUUGGCCAGAACUCAGUAAACACCCUCAGAAGUUAUUGUAAAGGCCUAAUUUAAACAAGAACAUCCAGAUUUUGCUUAUACCUCAGAAUCAAAACAAACUCUCAUGCCUGAUCUCGACGUGUUUGGUUAUCUUUGGAAGAUCACAGACAUAUGUCAAAAUAAAUUCUAUAUUACACAGGAAGUGUGAACUUUGCCUUCACCAAAUCAAGGGACUAACCUAAAAUUCUAAUUUUCUCAACUAGGAUCAGUUGUAAUCCUCUAAUUUUUGAAUCUUAUUAACCCAGUCACAGACUGAAAUGUUUCAGAGCUUAACAAGGCUCCAAACUGAGAAGUCCAUUGUGGCCGACUGUGCCACGCGAUCAUUCCUUGACAUUUUUUCCACUCAGAGAAUAAAACUGCAGUCAUUUGGUUUACAAAUAACAAGGAAGAAAGUCCUUUGGGUUAUUUAUCCCUAAUGUUAAGAAAACAAAACAAUAGCACUAAAUCUAUCAAUGAUAUAAUCAUAGCUAGAGUUUUCAAGCCUUAAAAAGGAAAUCUUGCUAAUUGGAAGCAUUGAAAACAAUAUACGGUUCAAACACUGUCAAAGAUUAGAGAGUGAAUUAUUAUGUUUCUUAUAGUUGACGUCUGCGGCCCAGAUUCUAAACUGUUAAUUAUUUUUUAAACAUACUGAAACCACACAUGCUACAAACAUAGGCAUAGAUACAAACUGAGUUGCAUUUUAAACAUGAUUCUAUUUUAAAACAAAGGAAAGUAUAAUCUAUUUAUGUAAACAUAUUUACUUGUAUAUUGGUCAAAAUCAGCAAGAGCAAGUAAAUAUUGAGUAACUAUUAUGUCCUAUACAUUGUUCUAAAGGCUGAGGAUGUACAGUAUAGUGAACAAGACAUUAUAGUCCCUGCCUUCUCUUCUAGCAGAGGAGAGAGUGUAGUAGGUAACUUCGGAGAUGCCCCACCAGUGACCCUGGCCUCAGGGUCUUCAAGACCUUGUUGCAGCCUCACCUCAUUGUCUGUCGCUGGACCUAGAGAUUUGCUUCUAACUAAUACAAUACAGUAAAAAUGAUAGGUUAUCAUUUCCAACAUUAGGCUAUAAAAAUCUGAUGAAAAUCUUGCUUGCUCUCUCUCUGACUCUACUUGCAUGCUUGCUUUGAUAAAGCUAGCUGCCCUAAGAAGAUGCCCAUGUAGCAAAGAAGCGAGGGAGGCCUCCAACCAACAUCUAGCAAGGACCUGAGGUCCUCAGUCUAGGCUGGAGUGGGUUCAAAAAAAGAAGAAACAACAUUAGGUAGAAGUGACAGCAAAUAUUCUCGAAUCUUUAAAGGAAGUUUUUCCUUAAAGAGGAACAAAGAAACAUGGUAAUCAGAUGAAACACAAAACCUGGGAAAAACAUUUUUUUAAUGUACUGGCCUCAGGGUUUGGUGGGUAUGCUGUGAUUGUACAGAACAGCCUGCAUGGAUAGACACAAAAGUACUCCUUAAAGAUGAAUUGGCACCAGUGAGGGGUGAUGGUUCACUUAUUUGUUUGUUUACUCAAAGGUGAUAACUUUGUUAGGAAUGCGACCAGUCGUCUUUGGAAAUCUGAAUUAAUUGGCAGUAUUUUAAAACUAUUUCUCUGAUGUUCAGUACAUGUCCUAAAAUGGCUGCUUGAUCGAAUCACAUCACAAACUGGCCUAGAUUUGAGCACCCUUUGGCCCAUUGUGUUUGGGGGCAUAGAGUUCCUAGAGCAAGGCCAAAAAAAAAAAAAAAAAAAAAAAAAAGAUAAAAAUUUUUAAAAACACACAGGCAGAAUCACUUUAAGUAUUUUAAUACUGAGAAGAGCAAUUUUUAAAUAAAAGCAGGGGAUAUUAUAAUGUAUCCUUAUGUUUCGGAGAAGGGAGAAUUUUAUUAUGUAGGGAAGGUGGUGAUGAAUUUUGGAGUAAAGGUUUUUAGAAAGUUAUGAAAUGGGAUACAGGGCACAGGUUUAUCCCUUGCUAAGAGCCAUUUGGUUAACCUGCUCUAUCGGGAAGGAAGGUGGAGAGAAUGGAUACACUUGCAGGCAGGCUGGUGGUGGGAGUCUUUUCUUCCAAAAUCUUCAAGUCUCUCAUGAAACAAAAGACAAGAACUUAAGCUAAAUGUGAGAAAUGGGAGGAGGAGAGAAAAUGAACUCAUCCACUUUGUGAGAAAAAGAGAUGAUGAAUGUGAAACUUUCCUUGUAGUGAUUUGCUGUAAUUGGAAGUAUGGUGCAGAAUACGGAGAGGUACAUAAAAAAAGAUUGAGCCGAGAUUGUGCCACUGCACUCCAGCCUGGGCAACAAGAGCGAAACUCAGUCUCGAAAAAACAAAAAUGCUGUUAAUUUUUGUUUGUUGAUAUUUAUCCUGCAACUUUACUGUACUUGUUUAUUAGUUCCCAUCGGAUCUCUAUUGGUUUCGGAAAAAAAGCCCAUUUUUCCUUUUGUUCCCUGUGCCUUUAGGGUCAUAUUAAAAAAAAAUUGCCCAAACCAGUACCAUGGGGCUCUCCUCUAGUAAUUUUAUAGAUCCAUGUCUUAUAUUUAAGUCUUUGAUCCAUUUGAGUUGAUUUUUCAAUGGGGUGCAAUAUAGGGAUUAAAUUUUAUUAUUGCUUGGUAUGAUAAUAUAAUAAAUAUAACAUAAUAAAAGCAUGGAAAUAGUCCAAUGAAGAGCUAAAAGAGAGCGGCUCUUGAGAAAUGGGAAUGGCAGAUGCAAUCCAGAACUCAAGAAGAGAGCCUGGUCUUCCACAGAAUUGGGAACCCCUCCACUGUGAAGCCAGGAAGAGAGUCCUAUAAGCUCUCACUUCUAAUUUCUACCCCAUUUCCAGUUCCUAGCAAGGUAUUUAGAAAUUCAGAUGUGAGUUCUUCACGUGCUACUUUUCACCCUUAACACCACACCCAUAGUGUAGACAGCUUUCUAUGGGUUUUACUCUCAUUUCUAGUGCUGAGUAAAGGUGGUAUUUUAAAAAUAAUUUUAUGUCUAAUAUGCUGUAAUCACUUUUGAGUAUUAUUCAAAAUAUCUCACUUCUAUGUUUUUUUGUAUUUCAGAUUUCUGACCAUUCUCUCAAACCAAUAAAGCCUGGAGACACUGAGAUCAUGACCUGGCGAUUUCUAUAAGGCUACUUAGGGCCCCAGCUGCCCUUGAGAAGUAAAACUCAAAACUCAAGCUCUUUGCCACCAAUCAGAGGUAGAAUUAUAAUGGAGAGCUAAAGAAAUUUCUCUAUCUCCAAGCCCCAGGUGAAGAGCUAGGGACUAUUCAUAUCAAUUGCCUCCAGGGAAGAAAAAUAAUGAGAGAGGGAAUCUGAAUGACUGAACAUUACUGAACAAGCACUUGUUAGUAUAAUAAUUGUCAACCUUGGCAGAUUCAGCUGGGAGGAAAAUUGAUGAUAGUGGCUUAGCACAACUGUUUCAACCAAAAUGACAGUGGAGUGGGCAGCAGGAGAUCUGCUAAGUGGAAUAAACAAAUGGCCACUAAGAGGAAAAAGUCAAAGGAAAAUAUUCAUAUGGGGUUUCAAUUCAAAACACCAACACACAUUUUUGUAGACUAGAUAAACUUCUAUUUUCUAAAACUGCUCAUUUUUGCUGAAGCUUCAUUAACCAUAUGUUACCAGUCCUCUUAUUCCUCCCUAUCGCUAUCACUGUUCCAUAAUACUCAAUAGAGACAUUCUCUGAAAAAGAAUGCCCUGACAGCCCGCUAUAUUUUGUGUUUAUAUAAAAAACACACUGUAUAUUGGAUAAAAUUCCCUUUAAAUUGUUUUGUUGAUAUUUAAUCCGAACAAAAAAUCUAGUAGACAUUUUUUUCCCAUGUGUGCUAAGUGGAAUGUUUUAAGAGCUACCACUGAAGAAAAGAAAUUUUCUUGUCUUCUUCCACUAAUAUUAACGAAGCAUCAUUUUUUUCCUUUCAUCUUCAUUCAUAUAAGCAAUUGCAAAUAUAUUGAGAUUUACUGAAUUACAUUUAACGCCUAUGAAAUUUAAUACCUGUUCAUUAAUUCACUCAACAAAACUUAGAUUCUAACUAAACUAGGAAGAGUUGAGUGUCAUCUUGAUCAUUAUUUCAUUUGGAGCAGAUAUUAUAUAUGGGUCAACAACAGGCACUUUUCUAAGUCGAAUUGUAUUUGGAGAAACAAUUUAUUUUAUAUUUAUAAAGUAAAUGUGGAAUUCAUUUUAUAAACUGUGCAACAAAGGAAAAUAUGAAAUCAGAAACACUUUAUACUAUACUAUAUAAGAUUCGUUAGAUAAGUUGGAAAUAUAUGUCCAGAUUAGAUUAUAUCUAAUUUGAAUAAACAAAGAACAUAUAUUUUUGAUUACUUUUCAGGUGGCCAAUAAUGAAUUAAGAUAAAUUAUACCAGUAACUGGACUAUAAAUAACAGUUCACCUGAUUUCUCUGUCAAUGAUGAAGGCUCCUGACAUUCUUGUUAAUUGACAAAAAUUAUAUACAUGUAUGGUGUACAACAUGAUUUUUUGAAAUGUAUACAUUGUAGAAUGGCUAAAUCAAGCUAAUUUAUGCAUUAGUUUGAUCAUGCAUCAGCUCACAUAUUUUUUUUGUGGUGGUAAGAACACUUAAAAUCUACCGCAACAAUCUACUCUCAGCAAUUUUCAAAUAUAUAAUAUACUAACGAAAGUCACCAUGAUGUACAAUAGAUUUCUUGUAGUUAUUCCUUUUAAUUGAAAUUAUGUGUUCUUUCACCAAUAUCCUUUAUUACCCCACUUCUCAGCCUCUAGUAACCACUAUUGUACUUUCUGCUUCUAUGAGUUAAAUUUUUUCAGAUUCAACAUAUAAGUAAGAUCAUGUGGUAUUUGUCUUUCUGUGCCUGUCUUAUUUCACUUGACAUAAUGUCCUCCAAGCUCAUCCAUGUUGUUACAAAUGACAGGAUUUCCUUCCUGUUUAAUGCUGAAUAGUUCAUUGUGUGCAUAAAUAUACACAUUUUCUUUAUUCAUUCAUCAUUGGUGGAUAUGUAGGUUGAUUUCAUAUCUUAGCUAUCAUGAAUAUUUCUUCAAUGAACAUGGGAGUGCAGUUAUCUAUUUGACAUACUGAUUUUAUACUCUUUAGAUGUAUACCCAGAAGUAGGAUUGCCAAAUCAUAUGCUAAUUCUAUUUUUAAUUUUUUGAGGAAUGCUCAUACUGUUUUCCAAAAUGGCUCUACUAAUUUACUUUCCCACCAAUCAUAUACAAGGCUUCCCUUUUAACAAUUCACAUCUUCACCAACACCUACAUUUGGUCUUUUUGCUAAUAGUCAUUCUAACAGAUAUGAGGUAAUAGUUCAUUGUGGAUUUAAUUUGCAUUUCCCUGAUGAUUAGUGAUGCUGAACAGUUUUCAUUUACUUGUGGUCAUUUGUAUGUCUUCUUUUGAGAAACAUCCAUUCACUUUUUUCAUUUUUUGAUCAGGUUAUUUGUUUACUUACUAUUGAAUUGAGUUCCACAUAUAUUUUUUGGAUAAUAGUCCCUUACCAGAUGUGUGGUUUGCAAACAUUUUUUUCCUUUUCUGUAGGCUGUCUCUUUACUCUCUUGGUUGUUUCCUUUCCUAUGCAGAAUUUUUUUAGUUUGCUGUAAUCCCAUUUGCUUUUGGAAAAAGAAGCCUAUUUUUCCUUUUGUUCCCUGUGCCUUUUGGGCCAUAUUCAAAAAAAUCAAUGCCCAAACCAAUAUCAUGGGGCUUUCCUCUAGUAAUGUGAUAGAUCCAGGUCUUGUAUUUAAGUCUUUGAUCCAUUUGAGUUGAUUUUUCAAUGGCGUGCAAGAUAAGGAUUAAAUUUUAUUAUUUUGCAUGUGAAUGUCAAGUUUUCCCAGCCCGAUUUGUUGAAGGGACUGUCACUUCCCUGUUGUGUGUUCUGGACACUUUUGUUGAAAAUCAAUUGACAACAAAUACAUGAAUUUAUUUCUGGGCUCUUUAUUGUGUUCUAUUGGUCUAUGUGUCUGUUUUUGUAAAAGUACCGUGUUGUUUUGAUUAUUAUAGUUUUGCAGUCAAUUUUGAAAUCAGGUAAUGUGAUGCCUUUGGCUUUGUUCUUUUUGCUCAAGAUUGCUUUAGCUAUUCUGGGUCUUUUGUGAUUCCAAGUGAAUUUUAGGAUUGUUUUUUCCAAUUAAGUGUAAAAUGUCAGUGGAAUUUUGAUAGUGAUUGCAUUGAAUUAGUACAUCACUUUGGAUAGUAUGGACAAUAAUAUUUAUUAACUCUUUCAAUUCAUGAACAUGGAAUAUCUGUUCAUUCAUCUGUAUCUUGUUCUAUUUCUUUCAUUGAUGUUUUAUAAUUUUUAAUCUAAAGACCAUUUUCUUGACUUUUUCUUUGUUGGAUAUUUCAUUGUUAGUGUAUAGAAAUGCUGUUAAUUGGCCGGGCGUGGUGGCUCAGGCCUGUAAUCCCAGCACUGUGGGAGGCCCACGUGGGUGGAUAAUUUCAGGUCAGGAGUUUGAGACCACCCUGACCAACAUGGUGAAACCCCAUCUCUACUAAAAAUACAAAAAUUAGCUGGGCAUGGUGGUGGGCACCUGUAAUCCAGCUACUCAGAAGGCUGAGACGGGAGACUCACUUGAACCUGGGAGGCAGAGGUUGCAGUGAGCCGAGAUUGUGCCACUGCACUCCAGCCUGGGCAACAAGAGUGAAACUCAAUCUCAAAAAAAAAGUGAAAUAAAAUAAAAAAUGCGGUUAAUUUUUGUUGAUAUUUAUCCUGCAACUUUACUGUACUUGUUUAUUAGUUCUAAUAGUGUGGGGUUUUUUUGGUGGAUUCUUUGUGUGCAAAUAGAAAUUAAUAGAAACAAGUGUACCCAUAUUCUCCACCUUCCUUCCCAUCAGAUGUCUUUUAUUUCUUUAUCUUGCCUAAUGGCUCUAGCUACAACUUCUAGUACUGUAUUGAUUAAAAGUGUCAAUACUGGGCAUCUUUGCCUUCUUCCUAAUCUUAGAGGAAAAGCUUUCAAAAUGUAGUUUGACGUUAUUAAUACCUGUGGGCUUAUCAUAUAUUGACUUUAUUGUGUCGAAAUAGAUUCUUUCUAUACCUUAUUUAUUGAGAGUUGUUAUCAUGACAAGAUGCUCAAUUUUCAGCAUCUAUUGAAAUGAUAUACUUUUUGUUCCUCAUUCUGCUAAUGUGGUAUAUUACAUUUGUUGAUUUGUGUAUGUUGAGCCAUCUUUGCAUCCUAGUAAUAAAUCUCACUUGAUCAUGGUGAGUUAUUCUCUUAAUAGGCUAUUGAAUUUUAGUUGUUAAUAUUUUGUUGAGAAUUUUGCAUCUAUGUUCAUCAGGAAUAAUGGCCAUAGUUUUCUUUCCUUGUAAAGUGCUUGUCUGUCUUUUGUCUUUUGUAUCAGGAUAAUGCUAGCAUCAUCGUAAUGUUUCCUCUUUAAUUUUUUGGAGCAGUUUGAGAAGGAUUGGUAUUAGUUUAAUUAAAAUGUUUUUGGGGUUGGGUGCAGUGGCUCAUGCCUGUGAUCCCAACAAUUUGGGAGAACAAGGCAUAAGGAUUGCUUGAGCCCAGGAGUUUGAGACCAGCCUGGGCAAAAAAAGGAAGAUCGGGUUUCAAAAAAAAAAAAAAAAAAAAAAAUAGCUCUGCGUGGUGGUACACGCUUAUAGCCCCAGCUACUCAGGAGGUUGGGAUGGGAAGACUGCUUGAGCCCCACAGGUUGAGGCUCCAGUCAGGCAUGACUGUGCCAUUUCACUCCAGCCUGGGUGACAGAGCAAGACUCUGUCAAAAAAAAAAAAAAAAAAAAAAAAAAAAAAAAAAAAAAAAAAAAAAAAACCCACAACAACAACAACAACAAAA
This is a long non-coding RNA of Symphalangus syndactylus (siamang), 12382 nucleotides long. RefSeq lists it as uncharacterized. The record is from RefSeq and is a predicted model, not a curated record. NCBI's taxonomy places the organism in Eukaryota, Metazoa, Chordata, Mammalia, Primates, Hylobatidae.